AUUGAACGCUGGCGGCAGGCCUAACACAUGCAAGUCGAGCGGAUCGCCAGACGGGUGAGUAUUGCCUAGGAAUCUGCCUGGUCCUGGUGGGUAACGUCCGGAACCGGGCGCUAAUCCUGCUUCCUCUCAGACGAGCCUAGGUGGGAUUCGCUAGUGGGUGGGGUAAAGGCCUACCAAGGCGACGAACCGUAACUGGUCGGAGAGGAUGAUCAGUCACACUGGAACUGAGACACGGUCCAGACUCCUACGGGAGGCAGCAGUGGGGAAUAUUGGACAAUGGGCGAAAGCCUGAUCCAGCCAUGCCGCGUGUGUGAAGAAGGUCUUCGGAUUGUAAAGCACUUUAAGUUGGGAGGCGUUACCAGCAGAAUAAGCACCGGCUAACUUCGUGCCAGCCGCCGCGGUAAUAC
This 407-nucleotide ribosomal RNA is filed under the name uncultured bacterium. RNAcentral's name for it is "partial 16S ribosomal RNA". It matches the Rfam family "Bacterial small subunit ribosomal RNA", at positions 30 to 526 of the family's 1533-position model. The record is from RNAcentral.